GCUAAUACCGUAUACGUUUUAAGGACCGCAUGGUCCUUAAAACAAAACUCCGGUGGUACGGGAUGGGCCCGCGUCUGAUUAGCUCGUUGGCGGGGUAACGGCCCACCAAGGCGACGAUCAGUAGCCGGCCUGAGAGGGCGGCCGGCCACAUUGGGACUGAGACACGGCCCAGACUCCUGCGGGAGGCAGCAGUGGGGAAUAUUGCACAAUGGGGGAAACCCUGAUGCAACGACGCCGCAUAAGCGAGGAAGUACCUCGGCCCGUCAAGCUCUGUCAGCAGGGAAGAAAAUGACAGUACCUGACCAAGAAGCCCCGGCUAACUACGUGCCAGCAGCCGCGGUAAUACGUAGGGGGCAAGCGUUAUCCGGAUUCACUGGGCGUAAAGGGAGCGCAGGCGGCACGGCAAGUCUGAUGUGAAAACCCGGGGCUCAACCCCGGGACUGCAUUGGAAACUGCCGGGCUGGAGUGUCGGAGGGGUAAGCGGAAUUCCUGGUGUAGCGGUGAAAUGCGUAGAUAUC
RNAcentral lists this ribosomal RNA (518 nucleotides) under uncultured bacterium. RNAcentral describes it as "bacterial SSU rRNA". It matches the Rfam family "Bacterial small subunit ribosomal RNA", at positions 162 to 698 of the family's 1533-position model. The record is from RNAcentral.